Molecule: ribosomal RNA, 301 nt
Filed under: uncultured bacterium
Lineage: Bacteria
Description: partial 16S ribosomal RNA
Rfam family: Bacterial small subunit ribosomal RNA
Source: RNAcentral
CAGCCGCCGCGGUAAUACGUAGGGGGCUAGCGUUAUCCGGAUUUACUGGGCGUAAAGGGUGCGUAGGUGGUCCUUCAAGUCGGUGGUUAAAGGCUACGGCUCAACCGUAGUAAGCCGCCGAAACUGGAGGACUUGAGUGCAGGAGAGGAAAGUGGAAUUCCCAGUGUAGCGGUGAAAUGCGUAGAUAUUGGGAGGAACACCAGUAGCGAAGGCGGCUUUCUGGACUGCAACUGACACUGAGGCACGAAAGCGUGGGUAGCAAACAGGAUUAGAUACCCCCGUAGUCCCUGUCUCUUAUACA